Molecule: ribosomal RNA, 439 nt
Filed under: uncultured bacterium
Lineage: Bacteria
Description: partial 16S ribosomal RNA
Rfam family: Bacterial small subunit ribosomal RNA
Source: RNAcentral
CUACGGGACGCAGCAGUGAGGAAUAUUGCACAAUGGGGGGAACCCUGAUGCAGCAACGCCGCGUGGAGGAUGGCGCAUUUCGGUGUGUAAACUCCUUUUAUAUGUCAAGAAAAUGACGGUAGCAUAUGAAUAAGCACCGGCUAACUCCGUGCCAGCAGCCGCGGUAAUACGGAGGGUGCAAGCGUUACUCGGAAUCACUGGGCGUAAAGGACGCGUAGGCGGGUUGGAAAGUCAGGUGUGAAAUCCUACAGCUUAACUGUAGAACUGCACUUGAAACUUCUAAUCUAGAGUAUGGGGGGGGAGAUGGAAUUAGUGGUGUAGGGGUAAAAUCCGUAGAUAUCACUAGGAAUACCUAAAGCGAAGGCGAUCUCCUGGAACAUUACUGACGCUAAGGCGUGAAAGCGUGGGGAGCAAACAGGAUUAGAUACCCCCGGUAGUC